RNAcentral lists this ribosomal RNA (1439 nucleotides) under uncultured organism. Its description in RNAcentral is "SSU rRNA". It matches the Rfam family "Bacterial small subunit ribosomal RNA". The record is from RNAcentral.
GCUUAACACAUGCAAGUCGAGGGGCAGCAUGGUCUUAGCUUGCUAAGGCCGAUGGUGACCGGCGCACGGGUGAGUAACACGUAUCCAACCUGCCGUCUACUCUUGGACAGCCUUCUGAAAGGAAGAUUAAUACAAGAUGGCAUCAUGAGUCCGCAUGUUCACAUGAUUAAAGGUAUUCCGGUAGACGAUGGGGAUGCGUUCCAUUAGAUAGUAGGCGGGGUAACGGCCCACCUAGUCUUCGAUGGAUAGGGGUUCUGAGAGGAAGGUCCCCCACAUUGGAACUGAGACACGGUCCAAACUCCUACGGGAGGCAGCAGUGAGGAAUAUUGGUCAAUGGGCGAGAGCCUGAACCAGCCAAGUAGCGUGAAGGAUGACUGCCCUAUGGGUUGUAAACUUCUUUUAUAAAGGAAUAAAGUCGGGUAUGGAUACCCGUUUGCAUGUACUUUAUGAAUAAGGAUCGGCUAACUCCGUGCCAGCAGCCGCGGUAAUACGGAGGAUCCGAGCGUUAUCCGGAUUUAUUGGGUUUAAAGGGAGCGUAGAUGGAUGUUUAAGUCAGUUGUGAAAGUUUGCGGCUCAACCGUAAAAUUGCAGUUGAUACUGGAUAUCUUGAGUGCAGUUGAGGCAGGCGGAAUUCGUGGUGUAGCGGUGAAAUGCUUAGAUAUCACGAAGAACUCCGAUUGCGAAGGCAGCCUGCUAAGCUGCAACUGACAUUGAGGCUCGAAAGUGUGGGUAUCAAACAGGAUUAGAUACCCUGGUAGUCCACACGGUAAACGAUGAAUACUCGCUGUUUGCGAUAUACUGCAAGCGGCCAAGCGAAAGCGUUAAGUAUUCCACCUGGGGAGUACGCCGGCAACGGUGAAACUCAAAGGAAUUGACGGGGGCCCGCACAAGCGGAGGAACAUGUGGUUUAAUUCGAUGAUACGCGAGGAACCUUACCCGGGCUUAAAUUGCAGAUGAAUUACGGUGAAAGCCGUAAGCCGCAAGGCAUCUGUGAAGGUGCUGCAUGGUUGUCGUCAGCUCGUGCCGUGAGGUGUCGGCUUAAGUGCCAUAACGAGCGCAACCCUUGUUGUCAGUUACUAACAGGUUCCGCUGAGGACUCUGACAAGACUGCCAUCGUAAGAUGUGAGGAAGGUGGGGAUGACGUCAAAUCAGCACGGCCCUUACGUCCGGGGCUACACACGUGUUACAAUGGGGGGUACAGAGGGCCGCUACCACGCGAGUGGAUGCCAAUCCCCAAAACCUCUCUCAGUUCGGACUGGAGUCUGCAACCCGACUCCACGAAGCUGGAUUCGCUAGUAAUCGCGCAUCAGCCACGGCGCGGUGAAUACGUUCCCGGGCCUUGUACACACCGCCCGUCAAGCCAUGGGAGCCGGGGGUACCUGAAGUGCGUAACCGCGAGGAGCGCCCUAGGGUAAAACUGGUGACUGGGGCUAAGUCGU